GAGGACGUAUAGAAUGAGCAGGAGCUAAGAGGAGGAAGGACGAUGGUGGAGAACAUUCUAGAUGAUGGUAGUGUGAGGACCUCUACAGACCAUCUCUCAAGUGGAACCAUCAUAACUACUGUCAUUUCUUGAAUGUCCUCACCGCUCUCCCAGCCUGCUCCCUCCUGCGGCUGCGGCACCCAGGACUCUGACCAGCAGGAGGUGGGACUCAAGGACUCCAGACCCAGCCCACAUGCGGGCCGGGCCAGGCCAGGGCAUCUGGAUGAUGCUGAAGAAUGAGAGUUACAGCUCCGAUCCUGGAGCUCAAACUGCGGGGAUGAAGGCUCCGUGUAUUUGUCAUUUACAUGGAUCCGGCGACAUAGCCCUCCACAGCUGUUGCUCCAAUUUGCCCUCCCCCCAGCAGCGUUUGGGGGGGGGGGGCUCCUUCCACAUGGUCUCCCCAACAGUGAUACUCUCCCUCAACUUCUCCUACCUUGAUGACAACCCACAUGCGCCGUUGUUCUCAUUUGCCCAGAAGAAGUAAGAUGACUGCCCAGGGGGCUAACCGGAAGGACUGGAGCUUCAGCCCUGGGCAAGAAUGAAAUAUGUCCCUUCCUCUUUUCUUACCUCCUGAGAGCAGCGAAUCUUCUACAAACACCUGCCUGUGUGUGCAUCUCCCAUGUGGCGUGUCUGGGACUCUGGGCCUCGUCUUGUCUCCCAUGUGGUUGUGCGGCCUGAUACUAAAAUCAGCUCAGCAUCUCAUGUCGGUCACAUCCUUAAUGCUGAGUUUGACUAUAAUUGCAGCAGGCAGACCAUAGUACAUUUACUUAACAUACCUUGAAUUAGGACCUCUUGCAUAAAUUUGCAUGCUAUUUGCAUCUAUUUGAUUGGACUGGGGGGAAAAAAAUCAGUGGUUGCAGCUCUUGAGUCAGGCAGGCUGGAAAGGGGCUGAGGAGCACCCAGCUUGGCCUUGAGCCCAGGGCUGCACUGAUCAGACGCUGAGCACACCCUCACAUCUGCUCUGCCCCCCGGGCUACCUGGGCAGGAGCUGGGCUCUUAAUGUGAGUCUCUUCUCACCCCGGGACUCACCAUGCUUAGGACAGGGGUGGUGCCAGAUCCCUCGGUGUCCAGAUCCCUCCUCCGACAGGUGUCACCCCAGACCAUGUUCCGUGAAGGCCAAUAUCAUGUCUGUCCGGCUGCUGCGGGAUUCCCAUGGACGGUUGGAUAAACUGAAUGAACAAAU
RNAcentral lists this long non-coding RNA (1222 nucleotides) under Sus scrofa (pig). RNAcentral's name for it is "lncRNA (ENSSSCG00015078044.1, ENSSSCG00045000170.1)". The record is from RNAcentral. Lineage: Eukaryota; Metazoa; Chordata; Mammalia; Artiodactyla; Suidae.